RNAcentral lists this ribosomal RNA (805 nucleotides) under uncultured bacterium. RNAcentral describes it as "bacterial SSU rRNA". It matches the Rfam family "Bacterial small subunit ribosomal RNA", at positions 8 to 808 of the family's 1533-position model. The record is from RNAcentral.
AGAGUUUGAUCCUGGCUCAGGAUGAACGCUGGCGGCGUGCUUAACACAUGCAAGUCGAACGGGAAUGCCACGCUGAUGCGAUUUCGGUCAAAUCAUGUGGCAUUCGAGUGGCGGACGGGUGAGUAACGCGUGGGUAACCUGCCUUACACAGGGGGAUAACACCUGGAAACAGGUGCUAAUACCGCAUAAGCGCACAGGGCCGCAUGGCCCGGUGUGAAAAACUCCGGUGGUGUAAGAUGGACCCGCGUCUGAUUAGCUUGUUGGCGGGGUAGGGGCCCACCAAGGCGACGAUCAGUAGCCGGCCUGAGAGGGUGGACGGCCACAUUGGGACUGAGACACGGCCCAAACUCCUACGGGAGGCAGCAGUGGGGGAUAUUGGACAAUGGGGGAAACCCUGAUCCAGCGACGCCGCGUGAGUGAAGAAGUAUUUCGGUAUGUAAAGCUCUGUCAGCAGGGAAGAAAGAAAUGACGGUACCUGACCAAGAAGCCCCGGCUAACUACGUGCCAGCAGCCGCGGUAAUACGUAGGGGGCAAGCGUUAUCCGGAAUUACUGGGUGUAAAGGGAGCGUAGACGGUGAUGCAAGUCUGAAGUGAAAGGCGGGGGCUCAACCCCCGGACUGCUUUGGAAACUGUAUGACUGGAGUGCAGGAGAGGUAAGUGGAAUUCCUAGUGUAGCGGUGAAAUGCGUAGAUAUUAGGAGGAACACCAGUGGCGAAGGCGGCUUACUGGACAGUAACUGACGUUGAGGCUCGAAAGCGUGGGGAGCAAACAAGAUUAGAUACCCUGGUAGUCCACGCCGUAAACG